UACGAAGGGGGCUAGCGUUGUUCGGAAUCACUGGGCGUAAAGCGCACGUAGGCGGACUGAUAAGUCGGGGGUGAAAUCCCGGGGCUCAACCCCGGAACUGCCUUCGAUACUGUCAGUCUCGAGUCCGAGAGAGGUGAGUGGAAUUCCUAGUGUAGAGGUGAAAUUCGUAGAUAUUAGGAAGAACACCAGUGGCGAAGGCGGCUCACUGGCUCGGUACUGACGCUGAGGUGAGAAAGCGUGGGGAGCAAACAGG
RNAcentral lists this ribosomal RNA (253 nucleotides) under uncultured bacterium. Its description in RNAcentral is "partial 16S ribosomal RNA". It matches the Rfam family "Bacterial small subunit ribosomal RNA", at positions 524 to 776 of the family's 1533-position model. The record is from RNAcentral.